This 253-nucleotide ribosomal RNA is filed under the name uncultured bacterium. RNAcentral's name for it is "partial 16S ribosomal RNA". It matches the Rfam family "Bacterial small subunit ribosomal RNA", at positions 524 to 776 of the family's 1533-position model. The record is from RNAcentral.
UACGUAGGUGGCAAGCGUUGUCCGGAUUUACUGGGCGUAAAGAGCGCGCAGGCGGUCGUUCAAGUCGCGUGUGAAAGCCCCCGGCUCAACUGGGGAGGGUCACGCGAUACUGAUCGACUCGAAGGCAGGAGAGGGUAGUGGAAUUCCCGGUGUAGUGGUGAAAUGCGUAGAUAUCGGGAGGAACACCCGUAGCGAAGGCGGCACUCUGGGCCGGUACUGACGCUGAGGAGCGAAAGCGUGGGGAGCAAACAGG